ACAGCGUCUGGUGGGCAGUUUGACUGGGGCGGUCGCCUCCUAAACGGUAACGGAGGCGCCCAAAGGUUCCCUCACGCUGGUUGGCAAUCAGCGGGCGAGUGCAAGGGCACAAGGGAGCUUGACUGUGAGACUGACAAGUCGAGCAGGGACGAAAGUCGGGCCUAGUGACCCAACGGUUGCAUGUGGAAGCGCCGUUGAUCAACGGAUAAAAGGUACCCCGGGGAUAACAGGCUUAUCUUGCCCAAGAGUCCAUAUCGACGGCAAGGUUUGGCACCUCGAUGUCGGCUCGUCGCAUCCUGGGGCGGUAGCACGUCCCAAGGGUUGGGCUGUUCGCCCAUUAAAGCGGCACGCGAGCUGGGUUUAGAACGUCGUGAGACAGUUCGGUCCCUAUCCGCCGUGGGCGCAGGAAACUUGAGAGAAGCUGUCCCUAGUACGAGAGGACCGGGACGGACGAACCUCUCGUGUGCCAGUUGUUCUGCCAAGAGCACGGCUGGUUAGCGACGUUCGGAAGGGAUAAGCGCUGAAAGCAUCUAAGUGCGAAGCCCAUCUCGAGAUUAGGUUUCCCACCGGGUUAACCGGGUAAGGCCCCUGGCAGACGACCAGGUGAUAGGCCGGAAGUGUACGCGCAGCAAUGCGUUCAGCUGACCGGUACUAAUAGGCCGAGGGCUUGGCUU
RNAcentral lists this ribosomal RNA (674 nucleotides) under Acidobacteriota bacterium. Its description in RNAcentral is "bacterial LSU rRNA". It matches the Rfam family "Bacterial large subunit ribosomal RNA", at positions 2251 to 2925 of the family's 2925-position model. Lineage: Bacteria; Pseudomonadati; Acidobacteriota. The record is from RNAcentral.